AUUGAACGCUGGCGGCAGGCUUAACACAUGCAAGUCGAGCGGGGUGAUGGUGCUUGCACUAUCACUUAGCGGCGGACGGGUGAGUAAUGCUUAGGAAUCUGCCUAUUAGUGGGGGACAACAUCUCGAAAGGGAUGCUAAUACCGCAUACGUCCUACGGGAGAAAGCAGGGGAUCACUUGUGACCUUGCGCUAAUAGAUGAGCCUAAGUCGGAUUAGCUAGUUGGUGGGGUAAAGGCCUACCAAGGCGACGAUCUGUAGCGGGUCUGUGAGGAUGGACGGCCAGAAUGGGACUGGGAGACGGCCCAGAUUCUUAGAGGAGGAAGGGAUGGGGAAUAUUGGGAAAUGGGGGGAACCCUGAUCCAGCCAUGCCGCGUGUGUGAAGAAGGCCUUAUGGUUGUAAAGCACUUUAAGCGAGGAGGAGGCUCUUUUGGUUAAUACCCAAGAUGAGUGGACGUUACUCGCAGAAUAAGCACCGGCUAACUCUGUGCCAGCCGCCGCGGUAA
Molecule: ribosomal RNA, 503 nt
Filed under: uncultured bacterium
Lineage: Bacteria
Description: partial 16S ribosomal RNA
Rfam family: Bacterial small subunit ribosomal RNA
Source: RNAcentral